AAUGCUGACCAUUUGCCCCUCACAGAAUGCUGACCAUGGACAUUUGCCCCUCACAGAAUGCUGACCAUGGUCCUUUGCCCAUCACAAAGAUAACGCACCGAGUCCCACAUCCUUUUUUGUUUUGAUCAUAUGUAUUUUGCUGGAGCUAAACAAAAUCAAGUGUGUCUAAAACAAAUCCAAAUAGUGGAAAUGCCGGGAUGUUAUUUUAAAGGAGCAAUUAAUUAUUCGGAGCAGUUUGCAUCACAAUUUUUUUUUAAUCGAAGAGACCCGGUGGGAAGGGGCGUUAAACAUUGUGCUGAUUGCUUCAACCGAAACGAGCCGAGCUUCGGGAGCCAUCUUCAGGCAGAGGUCUUGAAAAACACGAGGAAUAUAAAUUUCAGAGUCAAAGAGCCCUUGGAACCACAUAUAAGCCUAAUGAUGCAGA
Molecule: long non-coding RNA, 424 nt
Organism: Leucoraja erinaceus (little skate)
Lineage: Eukaryota; Metazoa; Chordata; Chondrichthyes; Rajiformes; Rajidae
Exons: 2
Source: RefSeq, a predicted model, not a curated record